UAUGGCUUUUUAAACUUACAUUUUAGCCCUGGCCACAUAGCUCAGUUGGUUAGAGCAUCAUCCUGAUACGCCAAGAUUGCGAGUUUGAUCCCUGAUGAGGGCACAUACAAGAAUCAACCAAUGAAUGCAUAAAGAAGUGGAAUAACAAAUCGACAUCUCUCUCUCUCUCUCCC
This is a long non-coding RNA of Phyllostomus discolor (pale spear-nosed bat), 173 nucleotides long. RefSeq lists it as uncharacterized. The transcript has 4 exons. Lineage: Eukaryota; Metazoa; Chordata; Mammalia; Chiroptera; Phyllostomidae. The record is from RefSeq and is a predicted model, not a curated record.